GAUCUGGCUCAGGAUGAACGCUAGCUACGGGCUUAACACAUGCAAGUCGAGGGGCAGCAUGAACUUAGCUUGCUAAGUUUGAUGGCGACCGGCGCACGGGUGAGUAACACGUAUCCAACCUGCCGAUGACUCGGGGAUAGCCUUUCGAAAGAAAGAUUAAUACCCGAUGGCAUAGUUCUUCCGCAUGGUAGAACUAUUAAAGAACUUCGGUCAUCGAUGGGGAUGCGUUCCAUUAGGUUG
This 240-nucleotide ribosomal RNA is filed under the name uncultured bacterium. RNAcentral describes it as "partial 16S ribosomal RNA". It matches the Rfam family "Bacterial small subunit ribosomal RNA", at positions 15 to 248 of the family's 1533-position model. The record is from RNAcentral.